GAUGAACGCUGACAGAAUGCUUAACACAUGCAAGUCUACUUGAAUUUGGGUUUUUAACUUAGAUUUGGGUGGCGGACGGGUGAGUAACGCGUAAAGAACUUGCCUCACAGCUAGGGACAACAUUUAGAAAUGAAUGCUAAUACCUAAUAUUAUGAUAAUAGGGCAUCCUAUAAUUAUGAAAGCUAUAUGCGCUGUGAGAGAGCUUUGCGUCCCAUUAGCUAGUUGGAGAGGUAACAGCUCACCAAGGCGAUGAUGGGUAGCCGGCCUGAGAGGGUGAUCGGCCACAAGGGGACUGAGACACGGCCCUUACUCCUACGGGAGGCAGCAGUGGGGAAUAUUGGACAAUGGACCGAGAGUCUGAUCCAGCAAUUCUGUGUGCACGAUGAAGUUUUUCGGAAUGUAAAGUGCUUUCAGUUGGGAAGAAAGAAAUGACGGUACCGACAGAAGAAGUGACGGCUAAAUACGUGCCAGCAGCCGCGGUAAUACGUAUGUCACGAGCGUUAUCCGGAUUUAUUGGGCGUAAAGCGCGUCUAGGUGGUUAUAUAAGUCUGAUGUGAAAAUGCAGGGCUCAACUCUGUAUUGCGUUGGAAACUGUAUAACUAGAGUACUGGAGAGGUAAGCGGAACUACAAGUGUAGAGGUGAAAUUCGUAGAUAUUUGUAGGAAUGCCGAUGGGGAAGCCAGCUUACUGGACAGAUACUGACGCUGAAGCGCGAAAGCGUGGGUAGCAAACAGG
RNAcentral lists this ribosomal RNA (735 nucleotides) under uncultured Fusobacterium sp. Its description in RNAcentral is "bacterial SSU rRNA". It matches the Rfam family "Bacterial small subunit ribosomal RNA", at positions 28 to 776 of the family's 1533-position model. The record is from RNAcentral. Lineage: Bacteria; Fusobacteriati; Fusobacteriota; Fusobacteriia; Fusobacteriales; Fusobacteriaceae.